AGUGAACGCUGGCGGCAGGCCUAAUACAUGCAAGUCGAACGGCAGCACAGCAGAGCUUGCUCUGUGGGUGGCGAGUGGCGGACGGGUGAGGAAUACGUGGGAAUCUGCCCAGUCGUGGGGGAUAACGUAGGGAAACUUACGCUAAUACCGCAUGCGCCCUUCGGGGGAAAGCCGGGGACCUUCGGGCCUGGCGCGAUUGGAUGAGCCCACGUCGGAUUAGCUAGUUGGCGGGGUAAAGGCCCACCAAGGGCGACGAUCCGUAGCUGGUCUGAGAGGAUGAUCAGCCACACUGGAACUGAGACACGGUCCAGACUCCUACGGGAGGCAGCAGUAGGGAAUAUUGGACAAUGGGCGCAAGCCUGAUCCAGCCAUGCCGCGUGAGUGAAGAAGGCCCUCGGGUUGUAAAGCUCCUUUGUCCGGAAAGAAAAGCGCCGGGUUAAUACCCUGGUGUCCUGACGGUACCGGAAGAAUAAGCACCGGCUAACUUCGUGCCAGCAGCCGCGGUAAAG
Molecule: ribosomal RNA, 509 nt
Filed under: uncultured bacterium
Lineage: Bacteria
Description: bacterial SSU rRNA
Rfam family: Bacterial small subunit ribosomal RNA
Source: RNAcentral